UACGUAGGGGGCAAGCGUUGUCCGGAAUCAUUGGGCGUAAAGAGCGUGUAGGUGGCUUGGAAAGUCUUACGUGAAAGCCUGCGGCUCAACCGCAGAAGUGCGUAGGAAACUUCCUCGCUAGAGUCCGGAAGAGGAGAGCGGAAUUCCUGGUGUAGCGGUGGAAUGCGCAGAUAUCAGGAGGAACACCCGUGGCGAAGGCGGCUCUCUGGGACGGUACUGACACUGAGACGCGAAAGCGUGGGGAGCGAACAGG
RNAcentral lists this ribosomal RNA (253 nucleotides) under uncultured bacterium. RNAcentral's name for it is "partial 16S ribosomal RNA". It matches the Rfam family "Bacterial small subunit ribosomal RNA", at positions 524 to 776 of the family's 1533-position model. The record is from RNAcentral.